Molecule: ribosomal RNA, 484 nt
Filed under: uncultured bacterium
Lineage: Bacteria
Description: bacterial SSU rRNA
Rfam family: Bacterial small subunit ribosomal RNA
Source: RNAcentral
AUUGAACGCUGGCGGCAUGCCUUACACAUGCAAGUCGAACGGCAGCACGGGAGCAAUCCUGGUGGCGAGUGGCGAACGGGUGAGUAAUAUAUCGGAACGUGCCCAGUCGUGGGGGAUAACGUAGCGAAAGCUACGCUAAUACCGCAUACGAUCUAUGGAUGAAAGCGGGGGAUCGCAAGACCUCGCGCGAUUGGAGUGGCCGAUAUCAGAUUAGGUAGUUGGUGAGGUAAAGGCUCACCAAGCCGACGAUCUGUAGCUGGGCUGAGAGGACGACCAGCCACACUGGGACUGAGACACGGCCCAGACUCCUACGGGAGGCAGCAGUGGGGAAUUUUGGACAAUGGGCGCAAGCCUGAUCCAGCAAUGCCGCGUGCAGGAUGAAGGCCUUCGGGUUGUAAACUGCUUUUGUACGGAACGAAACGGUGAGCUCUAAUACAGUUUGCUAAUGACGGUACCGUAAGAAUAAGCACCGGCUAACUACGUG